GUAGUUAUUCUAUGGACAAACACGACUGAAAAGAUUCAGAGAAUGUGGAUUCAAUACUUGUUUCAGAGAAUGUUUGGAGUGAAAAUUACAGCACACCGACAGAAAAAGUGCUACGCUUACAACAUGACGGAGUCGGAGCAUUCAUUGAUACAUACCCCUAGAGGCCUGACAUCAGUAGAGUCGAAGGUUCUAACAUUGGUUACAAAUGGUACACAUCUUGCGCAUAUAACUCAUAGAGAAUCGAUUGAUCAAUUCAGUCGUAACUUCGGGCAUUUUUGUGGAAAUUCAAUGGUUUAUCUUUUGAACUGAAUCUUGUAUAAUAAAGAAAUAGUCGUA
Mytilus californianus (California mussel) is the source of this 336-nucleotide long non-coding RNA. RefSeq lists it as uncharacterized. The record is from RefSeq and is a predicted model, not a curated record. The transcript is spliced from 2 exons. Lineage: Eukaryota; Metazoa; Mollusca; Bivalvia; Mytilida; Mytilidae.